AAUCUUUGGUAAACCUUAGAUUGUCCUCGACAAUUGUUUAAUCCUUUUAGUCAUAUCCAGUUCUAAACCUUUUCCCUUCUUAAUGCCCCAGGCAUUUGGAAAAUUUUAGAACGGAUGAAUAUAGCACAUGUAAUCGAUCCUAUAUCCGAAGCAUAUGGGACACGAUUCAUGAUGUCUUACAUAAAGACUAAACCAGUCUUUUGCUAUAAUAUUUCCAUUUCAAUUUGCCAAGUUCUCAUAAUUCAGAUUAUGAAAAGGGAUGCCGUAAUCAUAAUCGAAUUUUAGAACGCAAAUAAUGGACCCAUAUACAGAAUUUCCUUAUGUUGAGCCAUUCCAACAUGAAAUUCAUAUAUAUCCUUGACUAAAUGAUUAAAACCUCACGAUCUAAGCUUAUAGAUUUGAGAUGAAGCAUAAUUUCCUCUCCCUUAAUUAUAGCAAAACAACUUUUUCCCAAUUGAAACUUUUGUUUUCUAUAAUUAACAUUGCUAACUUGCAAUACUUAUCAUAAUUAUCAUGCUCCCACUAACAUGAUGAUUAUUAGCAUAACACUUAUGCUCCCACUAGCUUUGACAUGUACUCAGAAAUCAGCUGGACAGUCUGAAAUUUAGAUUCAUACACCCUUUCCGUAGAUAGCUCACCUGUGUGUCUAAGCAAUUUCAAGAACCAUGAAAAGGGAUACCGUAAUCAUGGUCUCAAUUGCUUAGGCAUUUGCCAUUUCUCACAAGUCCAUGUUAGUGUGCCGGUUAACCACACGCGCUCCACUAACGACUUUUGAAAAUGCAAAUAACACAAUUGAUAUCUUCGUAAAAUCUACUUAGUGAAAGCGUUUCCUCACCAUCAUUUUCAUGAAUCGGAGAGAAACCUUAUGACACUUAGAUUUAUAUGGUGUAUGAGUUCCUACCCAUAUGAAUUUGUCAAACCAUAAUCACAAGACAAAGAUAAUGACAAAUCCAAAACCAUAUGGAUUGAACUCAAUCUUAACUUCUUGCCACCUGGCAGCUCAAGGGCCUGCCAUUGCUUCCAAGUUGUUGUGCAACAAAUUGAGAACUCUAAGAACUCAUAUGCAAAACCAACUUUAACUGGAAUGGGCACAGAAUAUGUCAACACGAUAGGUUAUGAACCUCAAGUCGUGUGCUAGUGAAGAACUUUAGGUUUUAUUCUUGAUUAUUUCUUGAGACUUUCAAGACCUUUAAGACUCCCACUGUCCUCUUGACAUAUAAGACUCCCUUGUCAAACAUCCAAGAGAUAGUGCGGAUUCUAAUCAAGAAAAACACUUUACCCAAUUGGCCUAAGUUGGUCUUUGUUUUAUCCAAAACAUCACAACUUACCAAUUUCAAAUGUACAAGAGUAGAAAACUUUUACUCUUACAUUUGACAAGUGUUUUAAACCUUCUUUAAGACAUGUCACUCAAAUGACAAUCUUGGAGUAUGACUCUAAGACUUGUAUUGGAACGAAGUAUGACUCAUCUUCUUGAUUUAACCAUUUCAACAAUUCAAGUUCCUCUUCUUAGUCAUAAGAAUGCACUAAGAUUUCCUUAGAGAACUAAUUUUGAUAUGGUUUCUUAAUCAUUAAGAUGAUCACAAAACUGAUACUAAAGUACUCUCCCAUCUUUUCAGAUUUGAGAAACUUUUAUCCUUCUGCCUUAUUUGAUUCUUCUUAUCGAUCUUUAGUGGUGGACUUAAUCAGUGCACAAGAAUGUGUACUCGAUCCCUAAGUCCUUUACUUGACUCACACAUCCAUGUGAACAAGUAAUUAGUCUUAAUUUUCCAAAACUUGAAAGUUCUCAUUCAUCAUGCUAUACAACUUGCAUGAUUCCAAGUUCCGGUCCAAUUGAAACUUGGGUGAUGAGAAUCUUUCCUUAUUUGGUAAAUUUAGACAUUACCACAAAUGAAAGAAUCAAUUUCAUACUUCCACUCUUGCUACUAAUGGAAUCUUAUAAGCAACAAAAAUUUCCACAGAUGCCAUUGUAAGGAUAUUUUAAAAUAAAUAAAAUCAAAAAUUUCCUUUUAUUUUAAAACUUUGCGGAAAAACUAUCCUUACAAUCCAUAUGAAAACUUGUUGUUAUCUAUUCCUAAGCAAUAUCUCAUAACUCCUAAGAAGUAGCUCAAGAAUCCGAUUUUUCAAACUAUGCGAUAGAAAUCCAUCUAUGCGAUCAGAUUCAGCAUAUUCUUCCUUUAAGUUUCUUCACUUUCCUUUGAUUCUUAAACCAUCACCAUGCGACCCGGUCACAUCAUGUAUCAAGAAUCUCAGAAUAGAAACUUAACAGAGUUAGAUAGUGGAUUUUACCUGAAGUAGAGUCAAACUUAUUGACUUUAACAUCCUUAGGUAAAUUUGGCAGCUUCGCAACCAAUGCCCUUUCUUUGGCAAUACAAACAUAUGGACCCUUUGAUAAUGGUACACAGGACUAUCACAGACUUAGCUUUUCUCUUUACCAUUUGGUCAACCGAGUUGACUAUAGCCGAUCCCUUUCCAUUGGGAAGAGAAUGCUUUACUGGAUAUCCAAUGUCAUCAUUGUCAAUGUCCAUAAAGUUUUAGGAAGUUGAUCUUAGCAAAUAGAUAAGAUCAUUAAGGGUCUUGUCAUAGUCUGUUUCAUAGGUGUCCCAAAGGAACUCACUAUGUGACUUAGAAAGUGGUUGAACCACCAACUUUCUCAAGACUUUGACACCCAACUCUCCCGGCUUGUCAAUAUGUGACUACAUCUCCAAGAUGUGACCACACCUAGACCUUGCCUUGCCAAUAGGGCCUGAGUGACCUUAAACUUUUCAAGAACUUGUGGGUUAGGGAGAAUAAUUUGAAGAGGUGAAGAAGUAUGAUAUCCAUGGGACAUCAUCUUCAUUAGGAAACCUUGUUUCAAGAGAUUUGGGAAGAUCAUAGGUGUCUAAACCAGACAUCUUUUGGGAGAUAUUCAAGAUAGUUGAUUUAAAGUCCUUAAUAUGACACCCAAUAUGAAAUAUUAAGGCUAGGACCCAACAAACUAUUUUAUAACUUAGAAGAGGUAUGCCGUAAUCCAAGCUAUAAAAUAUUUGAAGGUAGGUGAAUGACGAUUCACCAAUUUCCACCAAGAUAAACGAAAUGUAUUAUUAGGUUUUAAUUGGUUUUGAAACUCCUAGAUCUUUGAGAUUCAUUGAACUUUUCAAAGGCAUGUUUCAAUCUCGAGUGUGCCCUUCAGGUUUUGUGACUGGGAUGCCGAGGAUCACAAAACAAGGUGUGAAGUAACCAUGCAAAUCACUUGGUACCCUUAAUAAAUUACCCCUCAAUCGAUGUGCCGGUUAACCACACACGCUCCAUCGAUACUAUGAUAAAUAUUAAGUCACCCUUUACCUACCUUGUUAAGUCCAAGUUAGUGUGCCGGUUAACCACACACGCUCCACUAACGACUUAGACAAAGUGUAAAGUGUAAUUUCAUGGAUUAGCACCUUAUUCACAUUUUUCCUAAGUAACUAAGAUUGGGUAUUAUUAAGAGUUUAGUUACUUAGUAUUAUCAUUAAUACUUUUAAUGAAGGGAGAAUUCUAGUCCUGUCAAACCCGUUCGGCUAACGACCCUCCACCAGUCAAGCAAGCGGUGGGUGAGAGUGGACACCCAUUAAGUUGCCAUUUUAUAGGCAACAACCUUAUACCCACCUUAUAGACCGGCUUCGUGAAUGAGGCGUACUAGCGGUAAGACUGACUUUACUCUUAUACAUAUAUAUAUUAUUAACUUAUAAUAUUAUAAAGUAUAAGGGUUGAAUUUUAACUUUUAAAAUUCUAAGGGCUAACUUGGAAUUAAAGUAUUCAUAAGUGAAAACUUUACAAAUUCCAAAACUUGAGGGCAAGUUUUGAAACUAUUCAAAACUAAUUAAUUCCAUAACUUAUGUGUUUAAAGUAGUUUUAAUCCAAAAACUCUUCAAGUUCCAUAACUUGAGGACAAGUUAUGGAAGACUUUAAACUAAUAAAAGAAUUAACUUUUCUUUAUUUUAUAACUUAUGGAAUUAAUUAAGGUUACCCUUUUUUUUAUUUUAUUUUAUUUUAUUAAAUGAAGAGACUCUUGGUCCUCCAUAACUUGAGGACAAGUUAUGGAGUCAUAAAACCAUUUAAUUAGAACUAGACUCUUCAUUUUUGUAACCUUUGCCAAUUUUUAUGAGUUUUAUGAUUCUUAAAUGUGACUUUUCAUAUAACUUGAGGACAAGUUACAAAAACACAUUUUAGAAUCAAUUCUUAGAUUAAUUUGGAUUAAAACCAACUAUCACAUAAUUUUAUUCAUUAAUCUAAAUUCACUCAUAAAACAAGGUAACACAAAAAACUUUUGGUGAUCCAUAACUUAUUCUUAAGUUAUGGAAUCCUUUAAAACAUUAACACCAAAUUUUGUAACUCCAAAAAAACUUUGAAUCAAUUUUUUUUUUAAAACCUUUUCAUAUCCAUAACUUAUGGAGGUUUCAAAAAAUAAAACUCUUUAGAUCAAACUUUUAAAACUAAUAAAAUAAUCAUAUUAUUUUAUCUUUUAUUAAAUUUGACCUAAUUCAACUCAUAAAGCAAAUUAUUCAAAUUUUACAAAUAAUUAGUUUUUCACAAGAACAAGUAAUUAUCUUAAAAUUUGACAAACUUCAUUUUUUUUUUUUUUUCAACUUUGAAAAUAAAAUAUUUGCAUCAAUAUAACAGAAAACAACCCGUGGCUCUGAUACCACUGUUGGGUUUUGAGCAUUCUAACACUUCCUAAGUGUACAUGCAACCCUAAAUACCUUGGAUCUAUGUUUUCUCUAUUAUACAUGCAAAUAAGAACAUCCAAGGUAUUAUCCUAAUCUAGCAUACAAAAACUAUGAAUGUAACAAGAUAGAAUACAUACCUCUUGAUGUAGCUUGAUGUCUUCAAGCUUUAAGAGCUUAGCCCCAAUAGUGUGGAAGCCUCAAGUGGAAUCACAAAUCACCAAGACACCUUGGAAUACUUUAGAGAAUAUGAUUACUUGGUUCUCUCUAGUGAAAUUGGCUAGCCCUUCUUUAGUGUAUCCACACUAGUGCCAAUUUCACCAACCAAAGACAUCUUUAUAUAGUAUGGAGGAUUAGGGUUAAACCCUAAUACCCAUGACCUUUCAUUUCCUAGGAUCCAUGGGUUAAACACUCCAUGGACUAUCCAUGAAAGCUUAGCCCAACCUAAAUGAACUUGGCCCAUUCCAUAUAUAUAAGAGUCCAUAUUUAAUUAGUUCCUUUUGAUCACUUAAUUAAUUAUAAAUUAAUUCUUGAUCAAUACUAAUUAAAUAAUAUGAUUCCAUAUUAAUAUAUUAGAACUUAUAAUAUAUUAAUAUUAAUCAUAAACAUACUAUUCUCAAAAGAUUAUCCAUAUAAAUUGUGUCGGUGAAGUGCAACCCAAAUGGACCAUGCCGGGUCGGGUCAAGUACAUACCAAAUAUAGUUAUGGACUUAGACAUUAAUCCAACAGAAUGACCUAGUUAUUCUUGAAGUCAAAACAUGCAAUAUGAAACACAAGAAUAAUUGAAUCCAAUAUGGUCUCAGAACUUAUGAAUAUAAAUAAACACCUUUUAUUUAUCACCAUAUGAUUACACAUUAUUCAUUGCAUACUCUUUCAGCUAUCAACUUUACUCUUGAAUUAUAACACUAGUUGUCCCAUGCUUCGAGCAUGUACACUAUGUUUUCUAAACACUAGUCAUGCCUUACACCAACUAUGCACACUAUGCUUGUCUAUGAUCUUUACAUUGUGAAAUAAACCAAUCGAACCAUGAUUCUAAUUUCACACUCCCAAUUCCUUAUCGUAAAUGUAUGAAUUCCAAAUUCUUAUCAUUUAUCGAAAUCUGUUAGAUUUAAACUUAUAUGCACUACCCUCUUGUAAUGAACAUGUACAAAGUCACAAAGACUUGUCAAAAAUCGUUACAAGGUAUUCCAAUGAAGGUCUACUCCAUGGAAACAAAGUCUUAUGUUCAAAGUAUGCAUUGCUUUGAAAAUUCUUCUUGCAUUAAGUUUCCUAAUCUUACACAAAUAACUUCCACCUUCCCAUAUUCCCAUUUUGACUAUCACUUCUAAACAAGAGUUGCCGCUUUUCAGAAUAUAUUAAUAUGGUCCUUCCAAAAUUAACACCAUACUUCCAAUUGUCCCUGAGCAACCAAUUUUUGGUAAACCUUAGAUUGUCCUCGAAGAUUGCUUAAUCCUUUUAGUCAUAUCAAGUUUUAGACCUUUUCCCUUCUUAAUGCCCCAGGCAUUUGGAAAAUUUUAGAAAGGAUGAAUAUAGCACAUGUAAUCGAUCCUAUAUCCAAAGCAUAUGUGACACGAUUCAUGAUGUCUCACAUAAAGACUAAACUAGUCUUUUGCUAUAAUAUUUCCAUUUCAAUUUGGCAAGUUCUCAC
RNAcentral lists this long non-coding RNA (6327 nucleotides) under Lactuca sativa (garden lettuce). Its description in RNAcentral is "long non-coding RNA (LSAT_LNC004351)". Lineage: Eukaryota; Viridiplantae; Streptophyta; Magnoliopsida; Asterales; Asteraceae. The record is from RNAcentral.